CAGUAGGGAAUCUUCCGCAAUGGACGAAGUCUGACGGAGCAACGCCGCGUGAGUGAUGAAGGUUUUCGGAUCGUAAAGCUCUGUUGUUAGGGAAGAACAAGUGCAAGAGUAACUGCUUGCACCUUGACGGUACCUAACCAGAAAGCCACGGCUAACUACGUGCCAGCAGCCGCGGUAAUACGUAGGUGGCAAGCGUUGUCCGGAAUUAUUGGGCGUAAAGGGCUCGCAGGCGGUUUCUUAAGUCUGAUGUGAAAGCCCCCGGCUCAACCGGGGAGGGUCAUUGGAAACUGGGAAACUUGAGUGCAGAAGAGGAGAGUGGAAUUCCACGUGUAGCGGUGAAAUGCGUAGAGAUGUGGAGGAACACCAGUGGCGAAGGCGACUCUCUGGUCUGUAACUGACGCUGAGGAGCGAAAGCGUGGGGAGCGAACAGGAUUAGAUACCCUGGUAGUCCACGCCGUAAACGAUGAGUGCUAAGUGUUAGGGGGUUUCCGCCCCUUAGUGCUGCAGCUAACGCAUUAAGCACUCCGCCUGGGGAGUACGGUCGCAAGACUGAAACUCAAAGGAAUUGACGGGGGCCCGCACAAGCGGUGGAGCAUGUGGUUUAAUUCGAAGCAACGCGAAGAACCUUACCAGGUCUUGACAUCCUCUGACAACCCUAGAGAUAGGGCUUUCC
This 673-nucleotide ribosomal RNA is filed under the name Bacillus sp. (in: firmicutes). RNAcentral describes it as "bacterial SSU rRNA". It matches the Rfam family "Bacterial small subunit ribosomal RNA", at positions 352 to 1017 of the family's 1533-position model. The record is from RNAcentral. Lineage: Bacteria; Bacillati; Bacillota; Bacilli; Caryophanales; Bacillaceae.